This is a non-coding RNA of Boleophthalmus pectinirostris (great blue-spotted mudskipper), 462 nucleotides long. NCBI's taxonomy places the organism in Eukaryota, Metazoa, Chordata, Actinopteri, Gobiiformes, Gobiidae. The record is from the annotation of a RefSeq genome assembly.
AUGUUGUCUGUAGCUCUUCUGCUGCUGCUGGCAGCUGGAUCCUGUAAGUCUCUGUUCACAUCAGUAAACUCUGGUGUGAAGUGUGAGACACUGACACAGCCAGCCUCUGUGACUGUGCAGCCAGGACACACUCUCACCAUCUCCUGUACUGUCUCAUAUUCUGUUAGCAGCUACUGGACAGCAUGGAUCAGACAGCCUGCUGGGAAACCACUGGAGUGGAUUGGUCAGCGUGCAGGAUCCACUGUGUACCUCAAAGAUUCACUGAAGAACAAGUUCAGUAUAAAUGCAGAUUCCUCCAGUAACACAGUGACUCUGAAUGGACAGAACAUGCAGCCUGGAGACACUGCAGUGUACUACUGUGCUCGAGACCCACAGUCAUACGAAGUAUAUGUAGAGCUGUACAAAAACACAUCAGACUGUUAUUCACUAUGGCCAACACAGGAGGAGCUCUCACACCACUAA